UACGUAGGGGGCAAGCGUUGUCCGGAAUCAUUGGGCGUAAAGAGCGCGUAGGCGGCCCUGUAAGUCCGCUGUGAAAGUCAAGGGCUCAACCCUUGGAUGCCGGUGGAUACUGCCGGGCUAGAGUCCGGAAGAGGCGAGUGGAACUCCUGGUGUAGCGGUGGAAUGCGCAGAUAUCAGGAAGAACACCAACGGCGAAGGCAGCUCGCUAGGACGGUACUGACGCUGAGACGCGAAAGCGUGGGGAGCGAACAGG
Molecule: ribosomal RNA, 253 nt
Filed under: uncultured bacterium
Lineage: Bacteria
Description: partial 16S ribosomal RNA
Rfam family: Bacterial small subunit ribosomal RNA
Source: RNAcentral